This 309-nucleotide ribosomal RNA is filed under the name uncultured bacterium. RNAcentral describes it as "partial 16S ribosomal RNA". It matches the Rfam family "Bacterial small subunit ribosomal RNA", at positions 28 to 339 of the family's 1533-position model. The record is from RNAcentral.
GAUUAACGCUGGCGGCGUGCAUGAAACAUGCAAGUCGAGCGCGAUGCGAGCUUGCUCGCAUCUAGCGGCGCACGGGUGAGUAACACGUGAGCAACCUACCUCGGAGCCCGGGAUAGCCCUGAGAAAUCAGGAUUAAUACCGGAUGAUGUCGCCGUGGGGCAUCCCAUGGCGAAGAAAGGCUUCGGCCACUCCAAGACGGGCUCGCGGCCUAUAGCUUGUUGGUGGGGUAAUGGCCUACCAAGGCGAAGAUGGGUAGCUGGUCUGAGAGGACGAUCAGCCACACUGGGACUGAGACACGGCCCAGACUCC